AAUAACUCGCUCGGCCGGGUCUACCUCACCAUCAUCAUGCCGUUUCACCGCAUGAUCGUCCCUGCCAUGCUGCGGAAGAUCUGACACGCGUCGCACCGGCCUGCAGGCGCCUCAGGGUUUCAUCCAAUCCAGCGCCUGCUGCAUCGGCACCGGCGAGACCCUGACAAACCCGGUGAACGGGUGGUCCAUAUCGAAAACCAGAUUGAUCGCAAUCGACACCGACAGGGCUGCGAGAAAGAGCGCAGCAAUCACCGUGCCCUGGAAUGGCGCGAAUAUUCCACGGCNCAGAAGAAAAGAACGCUGAGCCAUAAGACGCCGGCGAACAGAAACGCGCGUGGCGACCGAUUGAUCUGCUGAACGGACAGCAGACGGCUGGUGCGCUUCAAAUCCCCGAUGA
This 397-nucleotide unclassified non-coding RNA is filed under the name Hevea brasiliensis (rubber tree). Lineage: Eukaryota; Viridiplantae; Streptophyta; Magnoliopsida; Malpighiales; Euphorbiaceae. The record is from RNAcentral.